This 416-nucleotide ribosomal RNA is filed under the name uncultured bacterium. RNAcentral's name for it is "bacterial SSU rRNA". It matches the Rfam family "Bacterial small subunit ribosomal RNA", at positions 362 to 776 of the family's 1533-position model. The record is from RNAcentral.
UAUUGGUCAAUGGACGAGAGUCUGAACCAGCCAAGUAGCGUGAAGGAUGACUGCCCUAUGGGUUGUAAACUUCUUUUAUAUGGGAAUAAAACAGGGUAUGCAUACCCUCUUGUAUGUACCAUAUGAAUAAGGAUCGGCUAACUCCGUGCCAGCAGCCGCGGUAAUACGGAGGAUCCGAGCGUUAUCCGGAUUUAUUGGGUUUAAAGGGUGCGUAGGCGGAUUCUUAAGUCAGCGGUAAAAUAUCCGGGCUCAACCCGGGCCGGCCGUUGAAACUGGGGGUCUUGAGCGGGCGAGAAGUAUGCGGAAUGCGUGGUGUAGCGGUGAAAUCCAUAGAUAUCACACAGAACUCCGAUUGCGAAGGCAGCAUACCGGCGCCCGACUGACGCUGCGGCACGAAAGCGUGGGGAUCGAACAGG